Molecule: transfer RNA, 69 nt
Filed under: Ictidomys tridecemlineatus (thirteen-lined ground squirrel)
Lineage: Eukaryota; Metazoa; Chordata; Mammalia; Rodentia; Sciuridae
Description: Spermophilus tridecemlineatus (thirteen-lined ground squirrel) tRNA
Rfam family: tRNA
About the family: Transfer RNA (tRNA) molecules are approximately 80 nucleotides in length. Their secondary structure includes four short double-helical elements and three loops (D, anti-codon, and T loops).
Source: Rfam by way of RNAcentral
GGGGUUGUAGCUCAGAGGUAGAGCACUCGCCUAGCACGUAUGAGGCCCUGGGUUCAAUCCUCAGCACCA